GACGAACGCUGGCGGCGUGCCUAAUACAUGCAAGUAGAACGCUGAAGGAGGAGCUUGCUUCUCCGGAUGAGUUGCGAACGGGUGAGUAACGCGUAGGUAACCUGCCUGGUAGCGGGGGAUAACUCUUGGAAACGAUAGCUAAUACCGCAUAACAGUAGAUAUCGCAUGAUAUCUGCUUGAAAGGUGCAAUUGCAUCACUACCAGAUGGACCUGCGUUGUAUUAGCUAGUUGGUGAGGUAACGGCUCACCAAGGCGACGAUACAUAGCCGACCUGAGAGGGUGAUCGGCCACACUGGGACUGAGACACGGCCCAGACUCCUACGGGAGGCAGCAGUAGGGAAUCUUCGGCAAUGGACGGAAGUCUGACCGAGCAACGCCGCGUGAGUGAAGAAGGUUUUCGGAUCGUAAAGCUCUGUUGUAAGAGAAGAACGAGUGUGAGAGUGGAAAGUUCACACUGUGACGGUAUCUUACCAGAAAGGGACGGCUAACUACGUG
RNAcentral lists this ribosomal RNA (495 nucleotides) under uncultured bacterium. RNAcentral's name for it is "partial 16S ribosomal RNA". It matches the Rfam family "Bacterial small subunit ribosomal RNA", at positions 28 to 507 of the family's 1533-position model. The record is from RNAcentral.